This 253-nucleotide ribosomal RNA is filed under the name uncultured bacterium. RNAcentral's name for it is "partial 16S ribosomal RNA". It matches the Rfam family "Bacterial small subunit ribosomal RNA", at positions 524 to 776 of the family's 1533-position model. The record is from RNAcentral.
UACGUAGGGGGCUAGCGUUGUCCGGAAUCAUUGGGCGUAAAGCGCGUGUAGGCGGCCCGGUAAGUCCGCUGUGAAAGUCCAGGGCUCAACCCUGGGAUGCCGGUGGAUACUGUCGGGCUCGAGUCCGGAAGAGGCGAGUGGAAUUCCCGGUGUAGCGGUGAAAUGCGCAGAUAUCGGGAGGAACACCAAUGGCGAAGGCAGCUCGCUGGGACGGUACUGACGCUGAGACGCGAAAGCGUGGGGAGCAAACGGG